CAUCAUCCGAAUGGUUAUUAUCUGUAAUGAUUUGCUUGUUGUGUUUAAGUGGCAAAAUUUCGUAAAGGAUUGUUUUUAUAAUUGACGAGUAUUGAAUAUGCCAAAGCCAAGGAAGAGGAGAACCACGAUUUCUAAUGAAGAAAAGACUAUUAAAGAUGAUGAAAGCGUGAUCGAUGGUCAACGAUCAACUACAGGUAAAUUCUUAGGCCUAAUGUUAGGGUUAGACUAUUGUCAAACAAAUUUAAAAGACCAUGUUUAUAAUGCUCUCACUUCUACGUGCGAGUAUAAGAAAUUAAACAUAAUCUAAAUAAUAAAGACUAAUGAAAAC
This 328-nucleotide long non-coding RNA is filed under the name Androctonus crassicauda. The record is from RNAcentral. Lineage: Eukaryota; Metazoa; Arthropoda; Arachnida; Scorpiones; Buthidae.